This 1402-nucleotide ribosomal RNA is filed under the name Klebsiella quasipneumoniae. Its description in RNAcentral is "bacterial SSU rRNA". It matches the Rfam family "Bacterial small subunit ribosomal RNA". Lineage: Bacteria; Pseudomonadati; Pseudomonadota; Gammaproteobacteria; Enterobacterales; Enterobacteriaceae. The record is from RNAcentral.
GCAAGUCGAGCGGUAGCACAGAGAGCUUGCUCUCGGGUGACGAGCGGCGGACGGGUGAGUAAUGUCUGGGAAACUGCCUGAUGGAGGGGGAUAACUACUGGAAACGGUAGCUAAUACCGCAUAAUGUCGCAAGACCAAAGUGGGGGACCUUCGGGCCUCAUGCCAUCAGAUGUGCCCAGAUGGGAUUAGCUAGUAGGUGGGGUAACGGCUCACCUAGGCGACGAUCCCUAGCUGGUCUGAGAGGAUGACCAGCCACACUGGAACUGAGACACGGUCCAGACUCCUACGGGAGGCAGCAGUGGGGAAUAUUGCACAAUGGGCGCAAGCCUGAUGCAGCCAUGCCGCGUGUAUGAAGAAGGCCUUCGGGUUGUAAAGUACUUUCAGCGGGGAGGAAGGCGAUAAGGUUAAUAACCUUGUCGAUUGACGUUACCCGCAGAAGAAGCACCGGCUAACUCCGUGCCAGCAGCCGCGGUAAUACGGAGGGUGCAAGCGUUAAUCGGAAUUACUGGGCGUAAAGCGCACGCAGGCGGUCUGUCAAGUCGGAUGUGAAAUCCCCGGGCUCAACCUGGGAACUGCAUUCGAAACUGGCAGGCUAGAGUCUUGUAGAGGGGGGUAGAAUUCCAGGUGUAGCGGUGAAAUGCGUAGAGAUCUGGAGGAAUACCGGUGGCGAAGGCGGCCCCCUGGACAAAGACUGACGCUCAGGUGCGAAAGCGUGGGGAGCAAACAGGAUUAGAUACCCUGGUAGUCCACGCCGUAAACGAUGUCGAUUUGGAGGUUGUGCCCUUGAGGCGUGGCUUCCGGAGCUAACGCGUUAAAUCGACCGCCUGGGGAGUACGGCCGCAAGGUUAAAACUCAAAUGAAUUGACGGGGGCCCGCACAAGCGGUGGAGCAUGUGGUUUAAUUCGAUGCAACGCGAAGAACCUUACCUGGUCUUGACAUCCACAGAACUUAGCAGAGAUGCUUUGGUGCCUUCGGGAACUGUGAGACAGGUGCUGCAUGGCUGUCGUCAGCUCGUGUUGUGAAAUGUUGGGUUAAGUCCCGCAACGAGCGCAACCCUUAUCCUUUGUUGCCAGCGGUCCGGCCGGGAACUCAAAGGAGACUGCCAGUGAUAAACUGGAGGAAGGUGGGGAUGACGUCAAGUCAUCAUGGCCCUUACGACCAGGGCUACACACGUGCUACAAUGGCAUAUACAAAGAGAAGCGACCUCGCGAGAGCAAGCGGACCUCAUAAAGUAUGUCGUAGUCCGGAUUGGAGUCUGCAACUCGACUCCAUGAAGUCGGAAUCGCUAGUAAUCGUAGAUCAGAAUGCUACGGUGAAUACGUUCCCGGGCCUUGUACACACCGCCCGUCACACCAUGGGAGUGGGUUGCAAAAGAAGUAGGUAGCUUAACCUUCGGGAGGGC